UAGUCAGGUAGGUUAAUCUUUAAUUGUUCCUUUUUGUAGAGGGCAGAUGGAAUAUGAUUAUUGGAGUGUGCAUGAUUUGUGAUUAACAUCACUUAAGUAAUUAGGGCUCACAACAUCCUUAUUGUUCCUAUCUUAC
This is a small nucleolar RNA of Suncus etruscus (white-toothed pygmy shrew), 136 nucleotides long. RefSeq annotates it as U8 small nucleolar RNA. The record is from RefSeq and is a predicted model, not a curated record. The transcript has a single exon. Lineage: Eukaryota; Metazoa; Chordata; Mammalia; Eulipotyphla; Soricidae.